RNAcentral lists this ribosomal RNA (631 nucleotides) under Staphylococcus epidermidis. RNAcentral describes it as "bacterial SSU rRNA". It matches the Rfam family "Bacterial small subunit ribosomal RNA", at positions 417 to 1030 of the family's 1533-position model. The record is from RNAcentral. Lineage: Bacteria; Bacillati; Bacillota; Bacilli; Caryophanales; Staphylococcaceae.
UUCGGAUCGUAAAACUCUGUUAUUAGGGAAGAACAAAUGUGUAAGUAACUAUGCACGUCUUGACGGUACCUAAUCAGAAAGCCACGGCUAACUACGUGCCAGCAGCCGCGGUAAUACGUAGGUGGCAAGCGUUAUCCGGAAUUAUUGGGCGUAAAGCGCGCGUAGGCGGUUUUUUAAGUCUGAUGUGAAAGCCCACGGCUCAACCGUGGAGGGUCAUUGGAAACUGGAAAACUUGAGUGCAGAAGAGGAAAGUGGAAUUCCAUGUGUAGCGGUGAAAUGCGCAGAGAUAUGGAGGAACACCAGUGGCGAAGGCGACUUUCUGGUCUGUAACUGACGCUGAUGUGCGAAAGCGUGGGGAUCAAACAGGAUUAGAUACCCUGGUAGUCCACGCCGUAAACGAUGAGUGCUAAGUGUUUAAGGGGGUUUCCGCCCCUUAGUGGCUGCAGCUAACGCAUUAAGCACUCCGCCCGGGGGAGUACGACCGCAAGGUUGAAACUCAAAGGAAUUGACGGGGACCCGCACAAGCGGUGGAACAAGGUGGUUUAAUUCGAAGCAACGCCGAAGAACCUUACCAAAUCUUGACAUCCUCUGACCCCUCUAGAAGAUAGAGUUUUCCCCUUCGGGGGACAGA